Molecule: long non-coding RNA, 1550 nt
Filed under: Canis lupus familiaris (dog)
Lineage: Eukaryota; Metazoa; Chordata; Mammalia; Carnivora; Canidae
Description: lncRNA (ENSCAFG00845005643.1)
Source: RNAcentral
ACCUUUCUUUUCCCUCUGCCUUGCUGACAGAUGAAACAAAUCACCCUCUCUUCUCCAGCUCUCAACUGGGAUUUACACCAUCAACUCCCCUGGCUCUCAGGCCUUUGGACUGAAUUACACAACCAGCUUUCCUGGGACUCCAGCUUGCAGAUGGAAGAUAUUGGGACCUCUCAGCCUACUGACUAUAUAACUCUUGCCUAUAAUUUGCUGCUCAUACCUGCCAGAAGGAAUUCAUUCAUGAGUUGCUGACAGCCAAGGAGGUUUCUGCUUUGAGGGCUCACUCAGCACCUCACUUUAACACAAGGAGGAUCCACCCACCCAAAGUGAAAAAAGAAGCCACUAUGUAAGAGACAUAAGAAGAAAAACCAAACAAGGACAAAAUGGGAAGUUGAAAUAAAGGAUAAUGUUAUUUUGGACAAACAAAGUUUGAAGGAAGAAAAGAUUAAGGACAAGGAGGAGGAGAAGGAAGAGGAGAAGAAAGAGGAGAAGAAAGAGGAGAAGAAAAAGAGGAAGAAUGAUUAAGAGUUUAUGGAACUUUUCCAACUACAAUAGUUGCUGUGUUUUACCAGCUGCCUCUAGACUCCAGCAUAAGGCUCCCUGGAUGACAUUUGAAAGAAGAAAUACAAAUAACAUUUAGGUAGCUACACCUGAUGUGUGUUGGUUUGUUUGGGGACAUAUCACUAGAAGUUGGCCUCAGCUUGUAUGGCUGACAAAGAAGAGAAUUUUGUGGGGCAUUUUCUGUGCUGUUUGUAAAUGUGCAUUUAUGUGCUCGUAGCUUUUAUGAUAGUUUUUGAUUCAAGGUCAUUUAUUUAUACUGACAUCAAAAACAUUUUGAAAAAAAAAAUUUUUUGAGCUAUAGGGAUAUACCAAAAAAGUUACAGAUUACAUCACUAAAGUCCUUUCUGACUCCUAAGACAUAAGUGUGGUCCCUUUAGGCUUGGCUUUUAAUAUCUUUUGCAAAGGCAAAAAUUCCUUUUUUUAAAAGUCCUCUUAAAAAAAAUCCUUUAAAGCCACUUUCAUGCAAGUGAGCUUUUUCAAUAACAGAGGACUAUUUCCGGGGAGGAGCAAGACGGCGGAAGAGUAGGGUCUCCAAAUCACCUGUCUCCACCAAAUUACCUAGAAAACCUUCCAAUCAUCCUGAAAAUCUAUGAAUUCGGCCUGAGAAUUAAAGAGAGACCAGCUGGAAUGCUACAGUGAGAAGAGUUCGCGCUUCUAUCAAGGUAGAAGACGGGGAAAAAGAAGUAAAGAAACAAAGGCCUCCAAGGGGGAGGGGCCCCGCGAGGAGCCGGGCUGAGGCCGGGGCGAGUGUCCCCAGGACAGGAGAGCCCCGUCCCGGAGGAGCAGGAGCUGCACCAACCUUCCCGGGGGAAAGGGGCUCGCGGGGAGGUGGAGCAGGACCCAGGAGGGCGGGGAUGCCCUCGGGGUCCCGGGGACACUAACAGACACCUGCGCCCCGGGAGAGUGCGCCGAGCUCCCUAAGGGCUGCAGCGCGCACGGCGGGACCCGGAGCAGCUCGGGGGGCUCGGGGGCGGCUCCGCGGAGGGGGCUGC